UAAACAUUUUCAAGGUGCCUGAACCACGUGACUUUUUCGGCUAUGUGUGGGACAAUCGGAUGUAAACAAAACGUCGCUUCAGAAUGCCAUUUGUUUGCGAACAGUGUGGCAGAGAGGUCAAAACACGGUCGGGGAUCUCCUAACACAAAGCCACCCACGCACGGACAGGAAAAUAGGAGAUUAAAGUAUUUUUGGAAGCACCUUCAAGAAACGUACUGAUAUCUUGAUCAAUGAAAAGUUGUCAUAUACAAACAUGUAUAGUAAAUGUUCAAAAGUUUAAAUGACUGUUUGUUUUAUUACCAGAUGGUGCAAGUAUUGCAGGGAAAGAAAACAACCAA
Molecule: long non-coding RNA, 338 nt
Organism: Dreissena polymorpha
Lineage: Eukaryota; Metazoa; Mollusca; Bivalvia; Myida; Dreissenidae
Exons: 3
Source: RefSeq, a predicted model, not a curated record